UGGGGAAUUUUCCGCAAUGGGCGAAAGCCUGACGGAGCAACGCCGCGUGAGGGAUGAAGGCCUCUGGGCUGUAAACCUCUUUUAUCAAGGAAGAAGAUCUGACGGUACUUGAUGAAUAAGCCACGGCUAAUUCCGUGCCAGCAGCCGCGGUAAUACGGGAGUGGCAAGCGUUAUCCGGAAUUAUUGGGCGUAAAGCGUCCGCAGGCGGCCCUUCAAGUCUGCUGUUAAAAAGUGGAGCUUAACUCCAUCAUGGCAGUGGAAACUGUUGGGCUUGAGUGUGGUAGGGGCAGAGGGAAUUCCCGGUGUAGCGGUGAAAUGCGUAGAUAUCGGGAAGAACACCAGUGGCGAAG
This 350-nucleotide ribosomal RNA is filed under the name uncultured bacterium. RNAcentral's name for it is "bacterial SSU rRNA". It matches the Rfam family "Bacterial small subunit ribosomal RNA", at positions 355 to 720 of the family's 1533-position model. The record is from RNAcentral.